This 492-nucleotide ribosomal RNA is filed under the name uncultured bacterium. Its description in RNAcentral is "partial 16S ribosomal RNA". It matches the Rfam family "Bacterial small subunit ribosomal RNA", at positions 29 to 507 of the family's 1533-position model. The record is from RNAcentral.
AGUGAACGCUGGCGGUAGGCCUAACACAUGCAAGUCGAACGGCAGCACAGUAAGAGCUUGCUCUUACGGGUGGCGAGUGGCGGACGGGUGAGGAAUACAUCGGAAUCUACUUUUUCGUGGGGGAUAACGUAGGGAAACUUACGCUAAUACCGCAUACGACCUACGGGUGAAAGCAGGGGAUCUUCGGACCUUGCGCGAUUGAAUGAGCCGAUGUCGGAUUAGCUAGUUGGCGGGGUAAAGGCCCACCAAGGCGACGAUCCGUAGCUGGUCUGAGAGGAUGAUAAGCCACACUGGAACUGAGACACGGUCCAGACUCCUACGGGAGGCAGCAGUGGGGAAUAUUGGACAAUGGGCGCAAGCCUGAUCCAGCCAUACCGCGUGGGUGAAGAAGGCCUUCGGGUUGUAAAGCCCUUUUGUUGGGAAAGAAAAGCAGCAGGUUAAUACCACGCUGUUCUGACGGUACCCAAAGAAUAAGCACCGGCUAACUUCGUG